CCAAAGUGUUGGAAUUACAGGCGUGAACCACCAUGCCUGGCCAGCUCUAUUUCUUUAAGCCUACAUGUUUUGCACUUGUUAAAAGUAUUUGAAUAUACAAUUACUCAGUUUCCCUUGUUUAUGCUUGAAUUUUGUAUAAUCUUAAAUAUUUUUUCCAAUCUAAGCUUUAUUUUAUCCCGUUUCUUCUAUAUUUGUAUAACUUUAGGUGGCUAUCUUCAUUGAAAAUUUUUUCUCAAAAGCCUUAAAAUAGAACAUAGUUCUUGGCAGCAAUUUAAAGUUAUUUGAGGAGAAGGGGAGACUUACAAUGAUGCUUCAAUUGAAGCAAACUAAAAAGUAAUGAAGCAAGACAGAGGAAAAAGCAGUAUUCACUUGAGCACAUCCCAAAAGAAUAACAUUUCAAAUGUAACUAGAAAAAAGAUUGCUGAAGUUUGCAAUACAGAAAUAAUUAUUAAGAUAGCUUUAAAGCCCUGCUCAGCUUUUGAAUGUUGGGAAUUGACCCAGAGGUGGCUGUAAACUAAGAUGGUUCCUUCAGUAAUGACCAUUUUUUCUUUUUCAAGAUGAUGAUUAUUCCCCACCUUCUAGGACACAAAGACCAACGAGCCACCACAGCCACCAGUCCCAGAACCCGCUAAUGCUGGGGAACGGAAAAUGAGGGAGUUCAACUCUGGCCCUCACAAUCCAGUGGAGGAGACGAAACUCAUCUGCCUCUGUCCCUCUGGGCACGCCUCAUGCCAGGUGCAUCUGUGGACAGGGGCCAUGCUCCUGGGCUUCCAAAGUUGGAGAAAGCUGCCAGGCUCAGAGCCACCUAAGCUGAAGAUUCCCUUGAGAACAAGUACUGUCCUGCGGUUUCAUGGCCUUUCUUCCAUUUGUGGUUCUUGCGAAGUGGAAUUUAAAUGACAUCUUAUCAAGAUCGAUAAAUACUAGUUUCCCAGUGCUGGAAUAUAGAAAAUGGAUGGACAAGUAAAUCCCACUCAGCACCCAUAGUCCAGGCAUGGGGACCUCAACACACCUGAGCCCCAAACAUCACCUUUCAUUCUGGACCUACCAUGAAAGACUUCUGAAUCCAGGAAGAGAAACUGACUGGGCAACAUGUUAUUCAGAAACAGGACCUUGCCCUGUCACUCAGGAUGGAGUUCAAUGGUCCUAUCAUGGCUCAUUAUAGCCUUAAACUCCCAGGCUCAAGCAAUCCUACCAUGUCAGCCUUCCCAGUAGCUGGGACUACAGGAAGUGACCUCACAAUGACUCAAGCUACCACAUACUGUUGAUUGUGAAAUGCCAGUUGAAGCAUAUGUCCUGCGAGCUUAGGGGUGCUACAAGUUGACCACUGCAGCAGUAAAGAUGACUCUGAAGAAUGGCAUGGGAUGGAUCCUUUCGAAUGCACUUGAGCAGCGGUCUCCAACCACAGGGCCACAGAGCUGGAGAUGGACAGUCUAGUUGCAGGAGAACAAGCUCAGAGAUCCCACUGAGUCUACGUUAUACUGGAUCUACCAUGAAAGACUUCUGAAUCCAGGAAGAGAGACUGACUGGGCAACAUGUUAUUCAGGAGAUGGGGUCUCACCCUGUCACCCAGGCUUGAGUACAG
This 1582-nucleotide long non-coding RNA is filed under the name Homo sapiens (human). RNAcentral's name for it is "HSALNT0321728". Lineage: Eukaryota; Metazoa; Chordata; Mammalia; Primates; Hominidae. The record is from RNAcentral.